Long non-coding RNA from Platichthys flesus (European flounder), 1274 nucleotides. RefSeq lists it as uncharacterized. The record is from RefSeq and is a predicted model, not a curated record. Lineage: Eukaryota; Metazoa; Chordata; Actinopteri; Pleuronectiformes; Pleuronectidae. The transcript has 3 exons.
UGUUGUUCUGCUGACGAUUCCUCCACAGGCACAUGGCGAUGAAAGCCAGCAGGAUGAGCACCAUCACCACCAGGACGCAGCCCACAAUCAGAUCAUGACGUUGCUGUACUCGCUCUCCCCGCCGUCGUUGAAGCACUGCAUCUUGAUAUCGUAGGAGGUCUCGGCCUGGAGGUGACCAAUCAUGUGCCAGGGUUUCACACCUGAGAGGGACGGAGAGACGGAAGAGGAAGAGGAAGAAGGAAAAAGGAGGACAAAGCUUCGCCCGAGCCAGAGAAGUCCACCUGGGCAGAGCCGGAGCGCUGGGAGCCUUAUUACAGCUGACACCGGCUUGGCACGGCCCGGGUGGAAUUUUUCACAGGAGCUUGGAGGACACCGAGCGCUGCCCACAAGAGCAGACACCUCUCGGCACGGAGCCGCACGGCCGAGGUCAAAGAGCGACACAAUUCAAUAUUAAAAGCUAAACAAGUGAGUAAGUAGGUUGGAGCAGCGAGGUUUGCCACAGGGGGCAAACUGCAGGAGCCUGCGUCCAGCAUCGGGGAGUGUUAGGUGAGUGCGGCACCGGUUUACUCUGUAAAACAAACAGGCCCGGAGCUGGUAACACUAGACCUGAUCCUGGGACUGCGGCCAGCUGCCGCACAUUCCACACGCCAACCAUUAAAAUACCGGGGAGAAUCAGACCCCGGCGCUCGAUCGGUCCUGCACACUCUCCGGCUCGUAACGCUCUCUCCUCGGCUCUGACUCAUGGCUCCACCACAGAUGGAGCUCCUCCUCCUCCUCCGACACACUGAUGCAGGAGGAGGCGUUUAAGGUCACGGUGGAGAGGAAGGGUAUCGCUCAUCCUCCCCAGAACAGAAAGGUCAGUCCAUUAGAGGAGAGCACACCUGGGAGGACAUGUGACAGUAACUCAUGGAGGAUUACCAGAGGAGACGAGAGCCUCAGACCGGACAGAGCUUAACUCUUUAGAGGACAAGUUGAUGGAUCAGUUUGAAUUAACUCCAACAAGGAGGUUCUGUGUUCACCCCCGUCUGUUUGACCUACACCGAUUUCCAUAUACAUUUUGUGCAUGACGCAAGAAGGAACCCAGAAAAGUUUGGUGUGAAUUUCAGAUUAGAGGGCAGAUGUUAUAUGUCAAUGUGUAAUUCAUGGAUUUGAUGAAAAGCACGAUCUAGGGAACUUAAAGUUGUGACUAGAGGAACAAAUCAUGAUUUAUCUGUGAUUGUUAUUUUAGUUACUCAUAUACCUGUUUGGAUUUAAAUAAAAACUAGAAUUCAGUA